ACACUGCCGAGGAGUCCUAUAAUAGGACGAAACGGCUGUCCAGUAC
Non-coding RNA from Schistosoma margrebowiei, 46 nucleotides. The record is from Rfam. Lineage: Eukaryota; Metazoa; Platyhelminthes; Trematoda; Strigeidida; Schistosomatidae.